Ipomoea nil (Japanese morning glory) is the source of this 79-nucleotide transfer RNA. It matches the Rfam family "tRNA". Rfam says of the family: Transfer RNA (tRNA) molecules are approximately 80 nucleotides in length. Their secondary structure includes four short double-helical elements and three loops (D, anti-codon, and T loops). The record is from Rfam. NCBI's taxonomy places the organism in Eukaryota, Viridiplantae, Streptophyta, Magnoliopsida, Solanales, Convolvulaceae.
GACGGUUUGGCCGAGUGGUCUAAGGCGCCAGAUUUAGGCUCUGGUCCGAAAGGGCGUGGUUCAAAUCCCACAGCCGUCA